RNAcentral lists this transfer RNA (20 nucleotides) under Zabrus flavangulus. Its description in RNAcentral is "partial tRNA-Leu". The record is from RNAcentral. Lineage: Eukaryota; Metazoa; Arthropoda; Insecta; Coleoptera; Carabidae.
UCUUAUAUGGCAGAAUAAUG